RNAcentral lists this ribosomal RNA (480 nucleotides) under uncultured bacterium. RNAcentral's name for it is "bacterial SSU rRNA". It matches the Rfam family "Bacterial small subunit ribosomal RNA", at positions 56 to 541 of the family's 1533-position model. The record is from RNAcentral.
UGCAGUCGAACGAGAAAGUGGAGCAUCCAUGAGUCAAGGGGGACGGGUGAGUCACACGUCGACUCACUCACCUUCGAGUCGGGGGAUCAACCUCGGGAAACCGGGGCUCAAAUACCGAUCAAUAUCUUCGGGAUGAGAAGCCGAAGAUCAAAGGGAGCAAUUCGUGGAAGAGGGAGUCGCGGUUCGAUUUCAGCUCAGUUGGGGGGUCAAUGGCCCACCAAGGUUUUGAUCGGUAGCCGGCCUCGAGAGGGCGCACGGCAACUGGAACUGAAACCCGGUCCAGAAUCCUAAGGGAGGCACAGUGGGGAAUUUUGCGCAAUGGGGGAAACCCUGACGCAGCAACGCCGCGUGGAGGAUCGAAGUCCCUUGGGACGUCAAACUCCUUUCGACCGGACGAUAAUCGACGGUACGGGUCGGAAGAAGCCCCGGUCAACUUCGUCGCCAGCAGCCGCGGUCAAUCACGAGGGGGGCAAGCGUCUG